AAAAACUAAAACUAUUCAUAACAACCAAACCCCAUAUAUUUUAUAGAGUAUCAUUCGCAUCUUUAUGCUUUUUUCAAAACAAUUACCAAACCGAUCUUCAAAGGUCUUGUUAUCGAAUCAUUUAUUUACUUCUCUUGGCUUUUCUUAACUUUAUAAUUCUUUUUUUUUUCUUUAAAAAAGAGAGUUUCAUGGUCAAACAUUCUCCGGUGAAUCCAAAAUGUGAAAUUGGAGGGGUAAAAUAGUCAAGAAUGUGAGUUUCUCCAUUGCUUCCUCUCUCGGCCUUUUUAAAUACGCGGUCUUGUUUUGUUUAGACUCGGAACUCUCUUUGACUAAACUACCCCACCCUUUUCCAUCAUUUUCUAAUACAGAGUUACACACACACACACAUUGCUUCUUCUUUUUAAAAUUAUUCUUUCUGUCUUUUUUUUUUUUUUUUUUGGGUUUAGUAAAACAUCGCCAACUAUGUUCAUAAUGCAACUCGCAAAACUCUCUAUACCAAGAUAAAAUAUAACUAUGGUUGAUGAUUUAAAUUCCUUGUUGACCCAAAACAAAGAGAGAAUAACAAUCACAUAAAUCGGUAAUUAAUUUUGAUCUUUAGUAAAUAAAUACUCACUCCUUUUGGAAAAUAUCCGUAAGAAUUUCUAAUUCACCUGGUUUGGAAUCUUGGAU
Molecule: long non-coding RNA, 669 nt
Filed under: Capsella rubella
Lineage: Eukaryota; Viridiplantae; Streptophyta; Magnoliopsida; Brassicales; Brassicaceae
Description: long non-coding RNA (CRUB_LNC004665)
Source: RNAcentral